Molecule: ribosomal RNA, 324 nt
Filed under: uncultured eukaryote
Lineage: Eukaryota
Description: partial 18S ribosomal RNA
Rfam family: Eukaryotic small subunit ribosomal RNA
Source: RNAcentral
CCCUUAGAUGUUCUGGGCUGCACGCGCGCUACACUGAUGCGAUCAACAAGUUUUUCCUAUGUCGAUAGACACGGGUAAUCUUUUGAACUCGCAUCGUGAUGGGGAUAGAUUAUUGUAAUUAUUAAUCUUCAACGAGGAAUUCCUAGUAGGUGCAAAUCAUCAGUUUGCAUCGAUUACGUCCCUGCCCUUUGUACACACCGCCCGACGCUGCUACCGAUUGGUUGAUCUGGUGAAUUAUUCGGACUGCCGGCUGAAGGGGUUUCCUCAUCUGCCAGCGGAAAGUCUUGUUAACCCUAUCAACUAGAGGAAGCAGAAGUCGUAACA